GCCCUUACUCCUACGGGAGGCAGCAGUGGGGAAUAUUGCACAAUGGGCGCAAGCCUGAUGCAGCGACGCCGCGUGCGGGAUGGAGGCCUUCGGGUUGUAAACCGCUUUUGUUUGGGAGCAAGCCCUUCGGGGUGAGUGUACCUUUCGAAUAAGCACCGGCUAACUACGUGCCAGCAGCCGCGGUAAUACGUAGGGUGCGAGCGUUAUCCGGAUUUAUUGGGCGUAAAGGGCUCGUAGGCGGUUCGUCGCGUCCGGUGUGAAAGUCCAUCGCCUAACGGUGGAUCUGCGCCGGGUACGGGCGUGCUGGAGUGCGGUAGGGGAGACUGGAAUUCCCGGUGUAACGGUGGAAUGUGUAGAUAUCGGGAAGAACACCAAUGGCGAAGGCAGGUCUCUGGGCCGUUACUGACGCUGAGGAGCGAAAGCGUGGGGAGCGAACAGGAUUAGAUACCCUGGUAGUCCACGCCGUAAACGGUGGAUGCUGGAUGUGGGGCCCUUCCACGGGUCCCGUGUCGGAGCCAACGCGUUAAGCAUCCCGCCUGGGGAGUACGGCCGCAAGGCUAAAACUCAAAGAAAUUGACGGGGGCCCGCACAAGCGGCGGAGCAUGCGGAUUAAUUCGAUGCAACGCGAAGAAACUUUACCUGGGCUUGACAUGUUNCCGACGACGGCGGAGACGUCGUUUCUCUUCNGGGCGGGGUCACAGUGGUGCAUGGUCGUCGUCAGCUCGUGUCGUGAGAUGUUGGGUCAAGUCCCGCAACGAGCGCANCCU
Molecule: ribosomal RNA, 767 nt
Filed under: uncultured bacterium
Lineage: Bacteria
Description: bacterial SSU rRNA
Rfam family: Bacterial small subunit ribosomal RNA
Source: RNAcentral